UUUUUUUUUUUUUUUUUUUUGCAUAGAAAAAUAAGUUAAAAUAUUUGUAAUCUACUUCCCUUUUAUUAUUUCAUAAAUUAAAUGUCCCACAGAUAGAAACCUGAAAGAACUGACCUCGUUGCAACCGAAAACAGUAUAAAGUAUGCUCAGUAUUAUGAUUCAAUUGCGUGGCUCUCAAAUCGUAUGCUAGACCCCUAGUCAUGUUUUCCAGUUUUCAGUAGAUCCCCCCCCCCCCCCU
This is a non-coding RNA of Biomphalaria pfeifferi, 238 nucleotides long. The record is from the annotation of a GenBank genome assembly. Lineage: Eukaryota; Metazoa; Mollusca; Gastropoda; Planorbidae.